RNAcentral lists this ribosomal RNA (497 nucleotides) under uncultured bacterium. Its description in RNAcentral is "partial 16S ribosomal RNA". It matches the Rfam family "Bacterial small subunit ribosomal RNA", at positions 28 to 507 of the family's 1533-position model. The record is from RNAcentral.
GAUGAACGCUGGCGGCGUGCCUAAUACAUGCAAGUCGAGCGAACAGACGAGGAGCUUGCUCCUCUGACGUUAGCGGCGGACGGGUGAGUAACACGUGGAUAACCUACCUAUAAGACUGGGAUAACUUCGGGAAACCGGAGCUAAUACCGGAUAACAUGUUGAACCGCAUGGUUCAACAGUGAAAGACGGUCUUGCUGUCACUUAUAGAUGGAUCCGCGCCGCAUUAGCUAGUUGGUAAGGUAACGGCUUACCAAGGCAACGAUGCGUAGCCGACCUGAGAGGGUGAUCGGCCACACUGGAACUGAGACACGGUCCAGACUCCUACGGGAGGCAGCAGUAGGGAAUCUUCCGCAAUGGGCGAAAGCCUGACGGAGCAACGCCGCGUGAGUGAAGAAGGUCUUCGGAUCGUAAAACUCUGCUAUUAGGGAAGAACAAAUGUGUAAGUAACUAUGCACGUCUUGACGGUACCUAAUCAGAAAGCCACGGCUAACUACGUG